GACAGAUGGUGUAACUGAACGUCGGACGAAAUACUCGUCUCUAACAUUUUAUAAAAAUAAUUAAAAUUAUAAAAAAAUCGGCCGCAGUUCAUAACGUUGUGGUAUGAACUUAAUCUGUAUGUUUCGGGAUUUUUAUCUAACCACAUUUCCGUUGGUAUAUAUUGAUUCCUACUUUAUACCUACUUGAAAACAAUUUUCCUUUUCCUGUAUAUAUUUGCGAGUUAACUAUUGGUUAUUGUAGUUCAGCCCGCAAGCACGAUGGGAGUGCAGUGUAAAGUGGACAGCAUGGCUCGCGUUGGGUGGUUAGUCGCUGUUAUUUUAAUGCUUUGCGCGUUUCCGGCGCAGGCAUUUGCAUCAUGUGACAUCAAUGAUUUUGUUCAAAUUAAUAACACAGACAUCGUACUGAAACCUUGAAGCGAUUUGCAGUUGCAACGGUUACAGCAAAGAUCCUGAAGUUGAAACAGUAA
Molecule: long non-coding RNA, 467 nt
Organism: Manduca sexta (tobacco hornworm)
Lineage: Eukaryota; Metazoa; Arthropoda; Insecta; Lepidoptera; Sphingidae
Exons: 4
Source: RefSeq, a predicted model, not a curated record